Molecule: ribosomal RNA, 471 nt
Filed under: uncultured bacterium
Lineage: Bacteria
Description: bacterial SSU rRNA
Rfam family: Bacterial small subunit ribosomal RNA
Source: RNAcentral
CUAUCACUCCUACGGGAGGCAGCAGUGGGGAAUAUUGCACAAUGGGCGCAAGCCUGAUGCAGCCAUGCCGCGUGUAUGAAGAAGGCCUUCGGGUUGUAAAGUACUUUCAGCAGUGAGGAAGGUGGAGUCGUUAAUAGCGGCCUCAUUUGACGUUAGCUGCAGAAGAAGCACCGGCUAACUCCGUGCCAGCAGCCGCGGUAAUACGGAGGGUCCAAGCGUUAUCCGGAAUCACUGGGUUUAAAGGGUGCGUAGGCGGAUAACUAAGUCUAAGGUGAAAGUCUGUGGCUUAACUAUAGAAUUGCCUUGGAUACUGGUUAUCUUGAAUUGGGUUGAGGAUGGCGGAAUGUGACAUGUAGCGGUGAAAUGCAUAGAUAUGUCAUAGAACACCGAUUGCGAAGGCAGCCAUCUGGGCCUUGAUUGACGCUGAGGCACGAAAGCGUGGGUAGCAAACAGGAUUAGAUACCCUGGUAG